RNAcentral lists this ribosomal RNA (274 nucleotides) under uncultured bacterium. RNAcentral describes it as "partial 16S ribosomal RNA". It matches the Rfam family "Bacterial small subunit ribosomal RNA", at positions 523 to 796 of the family's 1533-position model. The record is from RNAcentral.
AUACGGAGGAUCCAAGCGUUAUCCGGAAUCAUUGGGUUUAAAGGGUCCGUAGGCGGGUUUGUAAGUCAGUGGUGAAAGUUUUCGGCUCAACCGGAAAAUUGCCAUUGAUACUGCAAGUCUUGAAUCAUGAUGAAGUGGUUAGAAUGUGUAGUGUAGCGGUGAAAUGCAUAGAUAUUACACAGAAUACCGAUUGCGAAGGCAGAUCACUAAUAAUGUAUUGACGCUAAGGGACGAAAGCGUGGGUAGCGAACAGAAUUAGAAACCCUAGUAGUCC